Molecule: ribosomal RNA, 460 nt
Filed under: uncultured bacterium
Lineage: Bacteria
Description: partial 16S ribosomal RNA
Rfam family: Bacterial small subunit ribosomal RNA
Source: RNAcentral
CCUACGGGUGGCAGCAGUGAGGAAUAUUUGUCAAUGGGCGCGAGCCUGAACCAGCCAAGUAGCGUGAAGGAUGACUGCCCUACGGGUUGUAAACUUCUUUUAUAAAGGAAUAAAGUGAGACACGUGUGCCUUUUUGUAUGUACUUUAUGAAUAAGGAUCGGCUAACUCCGUGCCAGCAGCCGCGGUAAUACGGAGGAUCCGAGCGUUAUCCGGAUUGAUUGGGUGUAAAGGGAGCGUAGAUGGGUUGUUAAGUCAGUUGUGAAAGUUUGCGUCUCAAACGUAAAAUUGCAAUUGAUACUGGCAGUCUUGAGUUCAGUUGAGGUAGGCGGAAUUCGUGGUGUAGCGGUGAAAUGCUUAGAUAUCACGAAGAACUCCGAGUGCGAAGGCAGCUUACUAAACUGACACUGACAUUGAUGCUCGAAAGUGUGGGUAUCAAACAGGAUUAGAUACCCUUGUAGUC